UGCUGGAAGCAACCGUGACCAGUAUUUUAUCUAUAAAUUAUCAUUUGUAAUAUCUAACGCGUAAAUUCGACCAAUUUUUCUCAUCAAAAAUAUAUCUUACUUUAGAAAUUGAGAAAAAAAAAGAUCAAUUUUCGAACCACUCUCUCGAUAUAACGUGCAAAAGUGUCAGAAGCUUUGUACCACUUUAUAUCGCGCAUUCAGAUAGAAAAAAAAAAAUUAUUUUUACCUUCCCCAUUCCAAAUCAGUACUUGGAUCGAUCCUCUCAAAUCCGCGACUCCGGGAAAAGUUUCUAAGAGAAGCCUUCUUAUUUUCAGUCAUCAUAUUCCUUUGACGUUCAGACGAACCGUGAAAUUAUAACGAAUAGUCUCGACGGCAAUUUUAUUACGCCCAUUAUUAAUGUUAUCACCUUUUUAUUCACUUAAACCAUUAGAUUAAAACUUCAAAACUAAUUUCAUGAAAACAACAAUAAAUUUCCCACUCAACUCAUUGACCACAAUGUCUUCUAGAGAGCUUUGCACGGAAUGACGAGAUCAGCGAUGUUUGAAACGCGUCUAACAGCCUUUACAGGCAUUCACUCACAUUUAGACAGAGUAUUGACAUACCGUUAGUACGACUACAAUUUCUUGUUUGUAGGUAUGUCAACUUAUCUCUCCCAAACUUAUUUAGGUCUCCCAAAGUUUCGUUUCGAUUGAAUUUUCGAUCUAUAUGUUAUCUGUCCGUCAUUUUAGAAACCUUUUUACACUGCUGCAUAUAUUUUAUAUAAGAAGACAACACAUGGAUCCAUGAAUCCCUUGGAAAUUAUUACCAGACACGAAAUUUAGCGAGGUUUGACCUUAAGCUAGACAGAACAGAUUCAAGCGAUAUUUAAGGUAGAAGAUCAUCUCCGAGUUCUUCGUCUCCAAAGUCUUCGUCUUUCUUCCCUGCCGAAGUCAUGGGGCGCGAAGGCAGAGGACCGACAGGAUCCGAAUAAUUAGUAUCUGUAAAAAUUAGAGCUUGGAUUUCGUAAUCUAUUUACGAGAAAAAAAAAGAGAACCAGCAAAACGAAGCUGAAAAUGUUUCCAGAGUCGCUCAGUGGCGCGCAAAAUUUUCACUCGCGUCGCAAGAUCAUCACUGCAACAAUCAGUAGAGUGUUAAAGAAGACAUAUGUGAGCCAGGAAUAGAAUCUGUGGACGAGUUAGGUACAUCUAUCAUCCAGUCAAUCCAUUAAGAUCCCCAGCUGUAAAUAAAUCAAGAGUAGCGUUUGGAUACCCCACUUAGGUGAUAGAAUUCACUGUAAAAAUCGUAUCCAUUGAAAUCGCAGAUUGUGCAAAAGAGAUGGUGGACUUAGUUAGGUGUGAAUUCCAAUGGACUUUCAAGCAUGGCCAAACGAUUCGCUCUAACCGGACCUCCGUUGUAGAGUCCUUGCUGAUCAUUCCUCCCCGACGUAGGACUGGUUUGAUGCUCCGACCUGAUGCUGAGCCCAGAACCAGCUCGUGACGAUGUGCCACUGUUACUUCGUCGGGAGCCUGGAUUCGAACAAGACAGUUUAAACUCGACGAAUAAACUUAAUUGAAUAUUUUGUUCACCAUAAUUAUUCAGGAGUUGAAAACCGAACUAUAUUAAUAGCUCACUUGUAGUUCCCGGGCGACCUGAUCCCUGUCUUUCCUUAAGCUCUUUAGUCUUCUCAGCUUUUUUGAGCUCAGCCGCAUACAGCUGUGCUUCUUUCAGACCCAAAUCACUGCACAGUCGAACUAAGAACUUAAGGCACUCGAUAUUUUCAGGGAAUUUCUUAUGGAUGUCUUGAUAUUCUGUAAGAGCUUUGUGAAACUGGCCGGUUCUCCUUAAACAUGCCGCGGCAAGUAGCCGCCAUCUCGGUUGAUCAGGUGCCAAUUCAACGGCACGUUCAAAGUAUAUUAGUGCUUUUUCUGCCACCUAAGAAUCAACAAUUGUCGAUAAUGGAAACAAAAAAUGCAGAAUAAAAUGAAAUAUAGAAAUAUA
RNAcentral lists this long non-coding RNA (1977 nucleotides) under Neodiprion lecontei (redheaded pine sawfly). RNAcentral describes it as "uncharacterized LOC124295471, transcript variant X2". Lineage: Eukaryota; Metazoa; Arthropoda; Insecta; Hymenoptera; Diprionidae. The record is from RNAcentral.